UACGUAGGGUGCAAGCGUUGUCCGGAAUUACUGGGCGUAAAGCGCGCGCAGGCGGUUCUGUAAGUCCUGGGUGAAAUCGCCCGGCUCAACUGGGCGGGGGCCUGGGGGACUGCGGGACUGGAGGGGCCUAGAGGCCGGUGGAACUCCCGGUGUAGUGGUGAAAUGCGUAGAGAUCGGGAAGAACACCAGUGGCGAAGGCGGCCGGCUGGGGGCGCCCUGACGCUGAGGCGCGAGAGCGUGGGGAGCAAACCGG
This 253-nucleotide ribosomal RNA is filed under the name uncultured bacterium. Its description in RNAcentral is "partial 16S ribosomal RNA". It matches the Rfam family "Bacterial small subunit ribosomal RNA", at positions 524 to 776 of the family's 1533-position model. The record is from RNAcentral.